Molecule: ribosomal RNA, 283 nt
Filed under: uncultured bacterium
Lineage: Bacteria
Description: partial 16S ribosomal RNA
Rfam family: Bacterial small subunit ribosomal RNA
Source: RNAcentral
GACGAACGCUGGCGGCGCGCUUAACACAUGCAAGUCGAGCGGUAAGGCCCUUUCGGGGGUACGACGAGCGGCGAACGGGUGAGUAACACGUGGGUGACCUGCCCUCCAGCUCUGGGAUAAGCCUGGGAAACCGGGGUACUAAUACCGGAUAUGACUCCAUGACGCAUGUUGUGGGGUGGAAAGCCUUGUGCGGCUGAGGAUGGGCCCGCGGCCUAUCAGCUUGUUGGUGGGGUGAUGGCCUACCAAGGCGACGACGGGUAGCCGGCCUGAGAGGGCGGACCGG